GCUCGCCUAGCUCAGUCGGUAGAGCGCAUGGCUCUUAACCUUUUGGUCUUGGGUUCAAGCUUGAAGGUGGGCG
RNAcentral lists this transfer RNA (73 nucleotides) under Hordeum vulgare. RNAcentral's name for it is "tRNA-OTHER". It matches the Rfam family "tRNA". Rfam says of the family: Transfer RNA (tRNA) molecules are approximately 80 nucleotides in length. Their secondary structure includes four short double-helical elements and three loops (D, anti-codon, and T loops). The record is from RNAcentral. Lineage: Eukaryota; Viridiplantae; Streptophyta; Magnoliopsida; Poales; Poaceae.